GCGAGAUAGGGCCCAGCGCCUCAGAUCUUCGUUGGCGGCCAUGGCUUCGGCUUCUCAGGGCGCUGACGACGGCAGUCGCAGGAGGCCCCGCCUGGCUGCAUCGUUGCGGAUCAGCCCCGAGCCCCGCCCCUGGCGACCGCUACCCACCCAGGCCCAAGGUGCCUGGGAGCCCGCGCCCGCGAUGGACCACGCGGAGGGCGGGCGGCCCCAGGUCUCGGUGUUGAGGGACAGUGGGCCUGGGGCAGGGGCCGGAGUUGGGGAACUGGGGGCAGCCCGGACAUGGGAAAACUUGGGAGAACAGAUGGGGAGGGGCCCGAGGGUCCCUGUGCCCCCAGCAGGGCUGAGCCUGCCGCUCAAAGACCCACCUGCCAGCCAGGCCGUGUCCUUGCUCACGGAGUACGCGGCCAGCCUGGGCAUCUUCCUGCUCUUCCGGGAGGACCAGCCACCAGAGACACCGCCAGAGCAGGACCUGGCCUGAGCUUGCGACCUUGGGGUGGACCCUGCUGUGAGCAGCGAUCUCCAAGGAUCACCAGUCACACCAGAUGCUCAACUGUGAAAGGGU
RNAcentral lists this small RNA (562 nucleotides) under Pongo abelii (Sumatran orangutan). Its description in RNAcentral is "processed transcript". Lineage: Eukaryota; Metazoa; Chordata; Mammalia; Primates; Hominidae. The record is from RNAcentral.